This 477-nucleotide ribosomal RNA is filed under the name Ecsenius namiyei (black combtooth blenny). Its description in RNAcentral is "partial small subunit ribosomal RNA". It matches the Rfam family "Bacterial small subunit ribosomal RNA", at positions 788 to 1491 of the family's 1533-position model. Lineage: Eukaryota; Metazoa; Chordata; Actinopteri; Blenniiformes; Blenniidae. The record is from RNAcentral.
CACUAUGCUUAGCCUUAAACUUAGACAAACCUUAUACUUGCGCUGUCCGCCUGGGAACUACAAGCACCAGCUUAAAACCCAAAGGACUUGGCGGUGCUUAACACCCCCCUAGAGGAGCCUGUUCUAGAACCGAUAACCCUCGUUUAACCUCACCCUUUUUUGCUUUUCCCGCCUAUAUACCGCCGUCGUCAGCUUACCCUAUGAAGGCCUAAUAGUAAGCAUAAUCAGUAUAACUCAAAACGUCAGGUCGAGGUGUAGCAAAUAAAAGGGGAAGAAAUGGGCUACAUUUCCUGCCCCAGGAAAUACGAAAAACAUGCUGAAAUUCAUGAUAGAAGGAGGAUUUAGCAGUAAGCAGAAAAUAGAGUGUUCUGCUGAAACAGGCCCUUAAGCGCGCACACACCGCCCGUCACUCUCCCCAAGCCAUCAUUUAACCCAUUUUUAAAAAAUCAACCAAGGCAAAGGGGAGGCAAGUCGUAA